GGAUGCGAUCAUACCAGCACUAAAGCACCGGAUCCCAUCAGAACUCCGAAGUUAAGCGUGCCUGGGCGAGAGUAGUACUAGGAUGGGUGACCUUCUGGGAAGUCCUCGUGGUGCAUUCC
Molecule: ribosomal RNA, 119 nt
Filed under: Sorghum bicolor (sorghum)
Lineage: Eukaryota; Viridiplantae; Streptophyta; Magnoliopsida; Poales; Poaceae
Source: RNAcentral